RNAcentral lists this long non-coding RNA (1220 nucleotides) under Dromaius novaehollandiae (emu). RNAcentral's name for it is "lncRNA (ENSDNVG00000016761.1)". The record is from RNAcentral. Lineage: Eukaryota; Metazoa; Chordata; Aves; Casuariiformes; Dromaiidae.
UGGCACAUUCAUUACUUAAGUGAGGAAACUGGAAUAUAAGGGGGAAAAAAAUCCUCCCUCAAGGAUGGAUCAAGAAGUUGUGUUAAGACCAGCAUUGGAACGUGGAAACUGCAGACUCUCAAAACCAUUAAAGCAAAAGGAACAAAACUGUGAGGAUGUUACUGUUUGCUUAAAAUACCUAGUAGGUAUAUAGGAUUAUAGAUUAUAACCCUGAAAAUGUUUACAAGGUUGUACAGACUUCUUGCUGUGACAGCACAGAUCUUUCCUGUAGCCAGGUGCUGUUUCCUAGUAACUGAGCUGUAGGCUAUUUAAAAGUUAAAAUUAAACAGACUUCCUUGGGCAAGACAAUUGUGAAUUACUCAGCUAGAACAAAUACUAAUGAAGAACAGCUUCCUCAUUUUCAUUAGAACAGCUUCCUUUCAAGCCUGAAAACUUGCUUUCUGCUGGCUGCGGUAAACCAUAGCCCUUUAWUAGCCAGGCUUGAUUGGCAGGAUCAGUGGGUUGUCACAGAAACCAAACAUACUUGCUCUAAACAAUACAGUCAGGAAGGCUAUUUAGCUUGGAGUGCUCUUCCUUGUUCUUCAUUCCUGCAAUGCAGUGAGCCUUCUGUAGGCUCCUACAAAAGAAAAAAAAUCCCUUUGUUGGCUUUUUAAGACCAAAAUGGGCUGCAAUACUAGUAAGAGCACAGCAGUGGUGGAAUCUGCCCAAAAGCAUGGAGGACAGCCUGAGGAAGAAGACAAAAAUGAAGACCCUGGCACUGAAACAACUGUUGAUGCUAUCCAGAAUUCAGCUGUUGAGGACAGCGCAUAUGGUGAAACAAGCUGAAACUGGCGACUUUUGUGAUCCAAAUACGGACUGUAACUGUGAAAUUCUUACUGGAUGUCACCAGUAUGUACGCCAAACCCUCUGCUGGGGGGUGACCUAAAUGGAAGGAAGAUCAYGUGUGGCUUGUAAUGGAUAGCCUUCAUCUGACAUAUGUAACUAAAGAUACUUGCUUCAGUAUUGUUGGGUCCUGUUAGCAACUACUUUAUCUAAACAAACAUCUGCAGAAGGAAAUAUCUGUUGUUCUCAUCUACCAUCGGGUCAUCCUCCAUGGAGUGCCCUAGGGGCCUGGAAGGGAAUAUGCUAGUGACUGGGCUGCAGGAGAGCGCUGUUUCUGUGACUGUCAAAUGUAGUGUGACUGUUUUUAUUCCCAGAAUUGCUUUUGACAACAGCUUUCU